This 536-nucleotide long non-coding RNA is filed under the name Setaria viridis. RNAcentral describes it as "long non-coding RNA (SVIR_LNC004389)". The record is from RNAcentral. Lineage: Eukaryota; Viridiplantae; Streptophyta; Magnoliopsida; Poales; Poaceae.
GUCAGUCCUAGCACAUGUCUCCACAUGUGUCCACAUUAUUAGUUCAACAUCUCCAUGUCCAUGACUUGUGAAACAUAGUCAUCAACUAAUACAUGUGCUAGUCUAAUAUUCAUGUGUGUCCUCACAUGAACUCCGACUAGGGACAACUUUAGAAUAACCAUACAAGUAAAGAGUUUCACAUACAAUUCACAUAAUUGCCAAUCAAUUCAAGUAGCCUUUAAUGGAUAUUCAAUGAACACAAUAUACAAAUCAUGGAUACAAAUGGAAUAUCAUCAUCUCUAUGAUUGCCUCUAGGGUAUACCUCCAACACGGACCUGGCGGUGGACGGGAGCCGGCGGCGGUCGCGGGAGGCGCGGGGGUGGACGGGUGGUAGCCUCGGUGGGUGAGGGUAGCGGGGGAAAAAUUGGUUCGCUUGCCCCAGAAGCGCCUCCCAGCCCGCGUACAUGAUAAGCCAGACGCCAGUUGUUUCCUAGCUUGUGAACUAAGCAGCUUACGUAGCAAGUGGAAAAUAAUCAAAGCGUUUGGGUGGGCUUAUG